GUACACUCCUACGGGAGGCAGCAGUGGGGAAUUUUGAACAAUGGGCGAAAGCCUGAUCCAGCAAUGCCGCGUGUGUGAAGAAGGCCUUCGGGUUGUAAAGCACUUUUGUCCGGAAAGAAAUCCUUGGCUCUAAUACAGUCGGGGGAUGACGGUACCGGAAGAAUAAGCACCGGCUAACUACGUGCCAGCAGCCGCGGUAAUACGUAGGGUGCGAGCGUUAAUCGGAAUUACUGGGCGUAAAGCGUGCGCAGGCGGUUUGCUAAGACCGAUGUGAAAUCCCCGGGCUCAACCUGGGAACUGCAUUGGUGACUGGCAGGCUAGAGUAUGGCAGAGGGGGGUAGAAUUCCACGUGUAGCAGUGAAAUGCGUAGAGAUGUGGAGGAAUACCGAUGGCGAAGGCAGCCCCCUGGGCCAAUACUGACGCUCAUGCACGAAAGCGUGGGGAGCAAACAGGAUUAGAAACCCUGGUAGUCCCA
This 475-nucleotide ribosomal RNA is filed under the name uncultured organism. Its description in RNAcentral is "partial 16S ribosomal RNA". It matches the Rfam family "Bacterial small subunit ribosomal RNA", at positions 331 to 797 of the family's 1533-position model. The record is from RNAcentral.